GAUGAACGCUGACAGAAUGCUUAACACAUGCAAGUCAUUGGCGAAGCUGCGCUUGCGCAGUCUAGCCAAGGCGGACGGGUGAGUAACGCGUAAGGAACUUGCCCUGCAGACAGGGAUAACAGACGGAAACGACUGAUAACACCUGGUAUUGUCAGGCUGGCGCAUGCCGGCCUGAUGAAAGGAGACGCUGCAGGAGAGCCUUGCGUCCUAUUAGCUAGUUGGUGGGGUAACGGCCCACCAAGGCGAUGAUAGGUAGCCGGCCUGAGAGGGUGAACGGCCACAAGGGGACUGAGAUACGGCACUUACUCCUACGGGAGGCAGCAGUGGGGAAUAGUGGACAAUGGGGGCAACCCUGAUCCAGCAAUUCUGUGUGCACGAAGAAGGUUUUCGGAUUGUAAAGUGCUUUCAGCAGGGAAGAAGAAAGUGACGGUACCUGCAGAAGAAGCGACGGCUAAAUACGUG
RNAcentral lists this ribosomal RNA (462 nucleotides) under uncultured bacterium. Its description in RNAcentral is "partial 16S ribosomal RNA". It matches the Rfam family "Bacterial small subunit ribosomal RNA", at positions 28 to 507 of the family's 1533-position model. The record is from RNAcentral.